RNAcentral lists this ribosomal RNA (808 nucleotides) under uncultured Bacillota bacterium. Its description in RNAcentral is "bacterial SSU rRNA". It matches the Rfam family "Bacterial small subunit ribosomal RNA", at positions 74 to 914 of the family's 1533-position model. Lineage: Bacteria; Bacillati; Bacillota. The record is from RNAcentral.
GUGGAGCAAUCCAUGAGUAAAGUGGCGUACGGGUGAGUAACACGUGGAUAAUCUACCUCUUAGUGGGGAAUAACCAAGGGAAACCGUGGCUAAUACCGCAUAAGCUCGAGAGAGGAAAGCAGCAAUGCGCUGAGAGAGGAGUCCGCGGCCGAUUAGCUAGUUGGCAGGGUAAAAGCCUACCAAGGCAUAGAUCGGUAGCCGGCCUGAGAGGGCACACGGCCACACUGGCACUGAAACACGGGCCAGACUCCUACGGGAGGCAGCAGUGGGGAAUCUUGCACAAUGGGGGGAACCCUGAUGCAGCGACGCCGCGUGAGCGAUGAAGCCCUUCGGGGUGUAAAGCUCUUUCGGCAGGGAAGAUAAUGACGGUACCUGCAGAAGCAGCUGCGGCUAACUACGUGCCAGCAGCCGCGGUAAUACGUAGGCAGCGAGCGUUGUUCGGAGUUACUGGGCGUAAAGGGUGUGUAGGCGGUUGUUUAAGUUUGGUGUGAAAUCUCCCGGCUCAACUGGGAGGGUGCGCCGAAUACUGAAUGACUUCGAGUGCGGGAGAGGAAAGUGGAAUUCCUGGUGUAGCGGUGAAAUGCGUAGAUAUCAGGAGGAACACCGGUGGUGUAGACGGCUUUCUGGACCGUAACUGACGCUGAGACACGAAAGCGUGGGUAGCAAACAGGAUUAGAUACCCUGGUAGUCCACGCCCUAAACGAUGCAUAUUUGGUGUGGGCAGUUCAUUCUGUCCGUGCCGGAGCUAACGCGUUAAAUAUGCCGCCUGGGGAGUACAGUCGCAAGGCUGAAACUCAAAGGAAUUGAC